GCUCGCCAAACAACUACGAGUGAAAACUUAAAACUUAAAGGACUUGACGGUACUUCACCCAACCUAGAGGAGCCUGUCCAAUAACCGAUAACCCACGAUUAAUCCAACCACUUCUGGCCACCCAGUCUAUAUACCGCCGUCGCCAGCCCACCUUGCAAAAGAAACAAAGUGAGCCUAACAGUACUACACUAACACGACAGGUCGAGGUGUAACUUAUGAAGUGGACUAAGAUGGGCUACAUUUUCUAACCCAGACCACACGAACAAAGACAUGAAACUACCUUUCGAAGGUGGAUUUAGCAGUAAGCCAGGAACACAAUACCUAGCUGAAACCAUUGCAAUGAAGUGCGUACACACCGCCCGUCAUCCCUGUUACAAAACAAACCAACAUACAUAACCCCAUCCUACUAACACAAACAGGGCAAGUCGUAACAUGGUAAGCGUACUGGAAAGUGCGCUUAGAAA
RNAcentral lists this ribosomal RNA (464 nucleotides) under Simalia boeleni (Boelen's python). RNAcentral's name for it is "partial 12S ribosomal RNA". It matches the Rfam family "Bacterial small subunit ribosomal RNA", at positions 867 to 1522 of the family's 1533-position model. The record is from RNAcentral. Lineage: Eukaryota; Metazoa; Chordata; Lepidosauria; Squamata; Pythonidae.